RNAcentral lists this transfer RNA (73 nucleotides) under Cordylochernes scorpioides. Its description in RNAcentral is "tRNA-Val". It matches the Rfam family "tRNA". Rfam says of the family: Transfer RNA (tRNA) molecules are approximately 80 nucleotides in length. Their secondary structure includes four short double-helical elements and three loops (D, anti-codon, and T loops). The record is from RNAcentral. Lineage: Eukaryota; Metazoa; Arthropoda; Arachnida; Pseudoscorpiones; Chernetidae.
GGUUCUGUGGUGUAGUGGUUAUCACGUUCGCUUUACACGCGAAAGGUCCUCGGUUCGAUCCCGGGCAGAACCA